UACGAAGGGUGCAAGCGUUGUUCGGAAUCAUUGGGCGUAAAGCGCGCGCAGGCGGGUUAGUAAGUCAGGUGUGAAAUCUCGGAGCUCAACUCCGAAACUGCGCUUGAAACUAUUAGCCUAGAGUAUCGGAGGGGACAGGGGAAUUUCACGUGUAGGGGUAAAAUCCGUAGAGAUGUGAAGGAACACCGGAGGCGAAGGCGCCUGUCUGGACGAUAACUGACGCUGAGGCGCGAAAGCGUGGGGAGCAAACAGG
RNAcentral lists this ribosomal RNA (253 nucleotides) under uncultured Bacteriovoracaceae bacterium. RNAcentral describes it as "partial 16S ribosomal RNA". It matches the Rfam family "Bacterial small subunit ribosomal RNA", at positions 524 to 776 of the family's 1533-position model. Lineage: Bacteria; Pseudomonadati; Bdellovibrionota; Bacteriovoracia; Bacteriovoracales; Bacteriovoracaceae. The record is from RNAcentral.